UUUGCAAAAAGCAGAGGCCUAAUCCUGAGGUCACCAAACUGGACACCCUCAAUGCCCUGGCAUAAAAGUUAUGAACAGAAUCAGUGACAAAUGGCAGCCCUGGCAGAAUCCAAUCCUCACCGGAAACGAGUCCAACUUACUGCCGACAAUGCAGACCAAGCUCUGACACCGGUUGUACAGGUAAGAAAAAGCCUUUUCAGUACAAAAUACCCUGCCUCGUGUUGUGAUGUCAUUCGACACCAGUUUUCAUGCCAGUGGAAAACCAACACCUUGAAGCACUGUAUUUUUGGUACCUUCUUGAUAUACCAAAAGUAUAGUACCCAGUGCGGUGAACUGGGCAGCUUUACAGCGCUGUACAUUCCCUAUGUGCUGUACGUCCUCCCCUAUGCUUCUAUGUACCGGCUUCUUCUGUUACUUCCAGGUCAAAGCCCGGGAUGUGGAGCAUGUGCAGAGCGCCUAGGCCAGUUUGAGUCCGAUUAAACGUCUACAUGCAGGAAUAAAUCGACUCCCAAUCACAUUAUCUGGGUGUCUUAGUCCGACUUAGAGAAAUUCGAUUUAGUACGAUUUCAAUGGGACUAACAGAAUCAUUUUCUUAGUGUACAUGUAAACAUACUGGAUGUGUUUAAGAUGUAAUUAAUCAGUGGCAUGCUUGGUGCCCCGGGCAAAAUCGGAGCCAAAUUCCUCACUGUAGUCCCUCCCCCCACCCAACCCAACCAUUGUUAACCGGGGGAGAGGCAAAAGUUAAAGUCAUCAGCCAGGAGUGGUUUGAUGCCUGUGGUAUGAUAAGUCAGUGUCCCCUCGGAACAUGUCACCCAAGGCAGUUGACCUUUUUGCCCUUGAUAGAAUCUGCAACUGCUGGGAGGCCUCAAGUCUGACUUGUUAAAUUUAGAAUCAUGAUUGUAUUCUUCAGUCAUAUGAUUAGAAAUAAUUUUGUUCAAGGGGAAGGUGUUUGCAACUUCUUGCUAAUUAUGAGGGAUGUCAUAGUACUAAUGUUAUGUUCAACAUGAUCUCAAAUACAUGGCCACUUUAUUAGGUACAACUAGCUAAUACCAGCUAGCUUCCAGACCAUAUACAAAUUAUACAAAUUAUGUGCUCAGAGAUUCCUUUCCGCACACUUGCACUAUUGUACUAAGCUGUUAUUUUUGCACUUAUGACCUUCCUGUUACCUGUAAUGAGCCAUUCUGGCCAUUCUCCCCUGACCACUCUCAUCGAUAAGGUGUUUUUGCCCACAGAACUGUGAGUAACUGGAUGUUUUUCUUCACUGUAGUGUGUGAAAAUCCCAGGAGAGUGGCUGUUUCUGUGAUGCUGAGACCACCAUUUAAGCAUCCCAUCCGGGGUGUACCCCAGGCUGGUGUCCUUUCCUGGCUGGGGUAGGAUCACCCUGGACUACCCGUCCCCCCCCCCACAUCCCAGUUCAAGAUAAAUAGGCAGAAAAUGGAUGGAUGAAUGGAUUCUUCAUACUGAUAUGUAAAUUUUGCCACAAGAAUUCUCCCUAAAUGGUCUGUGUUCUUAUUGUUAAAUAAUUUCUAAGGAUAUCAUACUUUUCCUCUAUUAAUACUCACUGCUUCUCUAUUAACACACAGUUAAUAGAAUUUCUUUAUGCGAGUUUAAUAAAGGCAGCUGGGGGCAUGGUUCACCUGUUUCUCAUGUGAUUGCACUAUAAAUCGCUUGUUCCAUUUCAUCCUGAUGCGCACCCCUGUGUCUGAGACCCCCACCAUCCUCACCAAAAGUGAAAAUGCCGUCCCUAAUAAAACUCUCAUUUCUCCCCCAA
This is a long non-coding RNA of Paramormyrops kingsleyae, 1771 nucleotides long. RefSeq lists it as uncharacterized. Lineage: Eukaryota; Metazoa; Chordata; Actinopteri; Osteoglossiformes; Mormyridae. The record is from RefSeq and is a predicted model, not a curated record.